This 423-nucleotide ribosomal RNA is filed under the name [Eubacterium] brachy. RNAcentral describes it as "bacterial SSU rRNA". It matches the Rfam family "Bacterial small subunit ribosomal RNA", at positions 68 to 500 of the family's 1533-position model. Lineage: Bacteria; Bacillati; Bacillota; Clostridia; Peptostreptococcales; Anaerovoracaceae. The record is from RNAcentral.
UUUGAAAAAAUUUCUCGGAUGAAAUUUUAAAAUGGAAAGCGGCGACGGGUGAGUAACGCGUAGGCAACUGCCCCAUACAAAGGGAUAGCAUUUGGAAACGAAUAUUAAUACCUUAUGAAACUUAACUAGUGCAUGCUAGGUAGGUCAAAGAUUUAUCGGUAUGGGAUGGGCCUGCGUCUGAUUAGCUAGUUGGUGAGGUAACGGCUCACCAAGGCGACGAUCAGUAGCCGACCUGAGAGGGUGAACGGCCACAUUGGAACUGAGACACGGUCCAAACUCCUACGGGAGGCAGCAGUGGGGAAUAUUGCACAAUGGGGGAAACCCUGAUGCAGCAACGCCGCGUGAACGAUGAAGGCCUUUGGGUCGUAAAGUUCUGUUCUAGGUGAUGAAAACUGACAGUAACCUAGGAGAAAGCCCGGCUAA